RNAcentral lists this ribosomal RNA (731 nucleotides) under uncultured bacterium. Its description in RNAcentral is "bacterial SSU rRNA". It matches the Rfam family "Bacterial small subunit ribosomal RNA", at positions 771 to 1501 of the family's 1533-position model. The record is from RNAcentral.
AACAGGAUUAGAUACCCUGGUAGUCCACGCUGUAAGCGAUGUCGACUUGGAGGUUGUGCCCUUGAGGCGUGGCUUCCGGAGCUAACGCGUUAAGUCGACCGCCUGGGGAGUACGGCCGCAAGGUUAAAACUCAAAUGAAUUGACGGGGGCCCGCACAAGCGGUGGAGCAUGUGGUUUAAUUCGAUGCGACGCGAAGAACCUUACCUACUCUUGACAUCCAGAGAAUUUGCUAGAGAUAGCUUAGUGCCUUCGGGAACUCUGAGACAGGUGCUGCAUGGCUGUCGUCAGCUCGCGUUGUGAAAUGUUGGGUUAAGUCCCGCAACGAGCGCAACCCUUAUCCUUUGUUGCCAGCGAGUCAUGUCGGGAACUCAAAGGAGACUGCCGGUGAUAAACCGGAGGAAGGUGGGGAUGACGUCAAGUCAUCAUGGCCCUUACAAGUAGGGCUACACACGUGCUACAAUGGCAUAUACAAAGAGAAGCGAACUCGCGAGAGCAAGCGGACCUCAUAAAGUAUGUCGUAGUCCGGAUUGGAGUCUGCAACUCGACUCCAUGAAGUCGGAAUCGCUAGUAAUCGUAGAUCAGAAUGCUACGGUGAAUACGUUCCCGGGCCUUGUACACACCGCCCGUCACACCAUGGGAGUGGGUUGCAAAAGAAGUAGGUAGCUUAACCUUCGGGAGGGCGCUUACCACUUUGUGAUUCAUGACUGGGGUGAAGUCGUAACAAGGUAACC